AUGAACGCUGGCGGCGUGCUUAACACCUGCAAGUCGAACGGAAAGGCUCCUGCUUGCAGGGGUACUCGAGUGGCGAACGGGUGAGUAACACGUGGGUGAUCUGCCCAGCACUUCGGGAUAAGCCUGGGAAACUGGGUCUAAUACCGGAUAGGACGAUGGUUUGGAUGCCAUUGUGGAAAGUUUUUUCGGUGUGGGAUGAGCUCGCGGCCUAUCAGCUUGUUGGUGGGGUAAUGGCCUACCAAGGCGUCGACGGGUAGCCGGCCUGAGAGGGUGUACGGCCACAUUGGGACUGAGAUACGGCCCAGACUCCUACGGGAGGCAGCAGUGGGGAAUAUUGCACAAUGGGCGCAAGCCUGAUGCAGCGACGCCGCGUGGGGGAUGACGGCCUUCGGGUUGUAAACUCCUUUCGCUAGGGACGAAGCGCAAGUGACGGUACCUGGAGAAGAAGCACCGGCUAACUACGUG
RNAcentral lists this ribosomal RNA (465 nucleotides) under uncultured bacterium. RNAcentral describes it as "partial 16S ribosomal RNA". It matches the Rfam family "Bacterial small subunit ribosomal RNA", at positions 29 to 507 of the family's 1533-position model. The record is from RNAcentral.